GACGAACGCUGGCGGCGUGCCUAAUACAUGCAAGUAGAACGCUGAAGGAGGAGCUUGCUUCUCUGGAUGAGUUGCGAACGGGUGAGUAACGCGUAGGUAACCUGCCUCGUAGCGGGGGAUAACUAUUGGAAACGAUAGCUAAUACCGCAUAAGAGUAGAUGUUGCAUGACAUUUGCUUAAAAGGUGCAAUUGCAUCACUACCAGAUGGACCUGCGUUGUAUUAGCUAGUUGGUGGGGUAACGGCUCACCAAGGCGACGAUACAUAGCCGACCUGAGAGGGGGGUCGGCCACACUGGGACUGAGACACGGCCCAGACUCCUACGGGAGGCAGCAGUAGGGAAUCUUCGGCAAUGGACGGAAGGCUGACCGAGCAACGCCGCGUGAGUGAAGAAGGUUUUCGGAUCGUAAAGCUCUGUUGUAAGAGAAGAAAGAGUGUGAGAGUGGAAAGUUCACACUGUGACGGUAUCUUACCAGAAAGGGGCGGCUAACUACGUG
Molecule: ribosomal RNA, 495 nt
Filed under: uncultured bacterium
Lineage: Bacteria
Description: partial 16S ribosomal RNA
Rfam family: Bacterial small subunit ribosomal RNA
Source: RNAcentral